GCCCUAACAGCCGUAUUCAUAAACAGUUAGAGCAUUGAUCAUCAGUUGCUGAUAACCGGAUGUCACAAAACGUGAUUCAUAAACACUUUUUAGCGCUAAACAGUUGAUCAUCUCUUUAUUAAAUCCUCGGAAAGUUAUGGAGCCGUGGACCCUUCUUUAUCUGUUUAUUAUCCCUAAAAUACAAGAUGGCGGUCACAAAACAGCUGAUUUUGACAAGACAGCAUUUCACAAAUUAGUGCAAACGUCGAUGAGACUUGUAUCGUAAUUUAGUGAUUUGGGUGUUCUUUUUGUUUAAAAAACGUCUAAAUUUAAUAAAUGAGUGGUUUAAUAUGUGUAAAUAAGGAGAUAAACCAUUACAUACCUAGAUAUAGUGCGCAAAUAGCGGGAAACCUAGAUAUUGUGCCUUUGCUAGGAGUUGUUUGCACGAUUGUAUGUCGCAUUCAUCAAGAUGUAAGCAAUUUAUGCGAUACGAACUGUUAUACCAUAAGACUAGACUUCUACGACUGGGGCACCGGCGUCGGAUAAAGCACCUCACCAACCUAUAUACCUAUCAUAAAAGAAUGAAAACUACUCCCGGAACUCCUACAGCGCAAAGAAUACAACCAACUUCAUUUGAUGGCGGUGUGCAGGCCGGUUAGAUGCCAGAAGAGUGUGGCCUCCGGAUUGUGUAGCCAGCUCCGGACAAAUAGCUGAUGAUGGAAUACUCACAACCUGAAAAGAACACAGUUUCAAUUAAUAUACUCAUUGAAUCAA
Molecule: long non-coding RNA, 753 nt
Organism: Cydia fagiglandana
Lineage: Eukaryota; Metazoa; Arthropoda; Insecta; Lepidoptera; Tortricidae
Exons: 2
Source: RefSeq, a predicted model, not a curated record